AGGAUAGCCAAGUGAAGCCAAUGGCUUCAACCACUAAGAUAUAUAUAUAUAUAUAUAUAUAUAUAUAUAUAUAUAUAUAUAUAUAUGUGUGUGUGUGUGUGUGUGUGUGUGUGUGUGUGUGUGUGUGUGUGCCAAAUCUGUGACCUCCAGGGUUGCUACUCUGCUGCCAU
This is a non-coding RNA of Podarcis lilfordi (Lilford's wall lizard), 170 nucleotides long. The record is from the annotation of a GenBank genome assembly. NCBI's taxonomy places the organism in Eukaryota, Metazoa, Chordata, Lepidosauria, Squamata, Lacertidae.